GAGAAACACAAAUUCAAACACCAGAAAGACAGGGCCAUUUCUGGUUUCUGGUAUUGUUACAGAGGAAAAAAGUGACAGGGCCCACUGUGGGGGUUGAGGGGGAGAUACAAGGCAGGCUGGCGCCUGCCGCACUGCUUGUGGGAGUGGAAAUUGGGGGCCAGAGCGCACUGGUGACGUGGCUGUCACGUGACCAAGAGCCGCCUAGAGCACAAGUCCUGCUAGUCGCCUCCGUCUGGGUACCAGCCCCCUAUUACUCUGCAGGCGCGUGAAGAAAGAAGGAAACUAGCUCGGACUGUGCAGGUCGGUGCGAGGGUGGGCGCUGCUUCAGAGGAGGUAUGGGUGGAAGAGGGCCAAGAACGCCACAGAUCCGAGUUCAGGCCGAUCACAGCUGGGUCCUUUCUCGCCUACUUUCUAAAUACUGCCACCAACCCCCACCCCACCCCGUGCUCAUUUUAGUAGAGAGAAGUGGCGGGUUUCGGGUGGGGGUGAGGGGAGUGAAUGGCGUUUCCAGAGACUCCGAGAAAAGAAAGGUUCCAGUGUCCCGGGUGCUGGUCCGUCCACCAAGCACUCCGUCCCCUCGGUCCCUUGUCUGUUUGCAGGUUUGUAGGUCUGUUGGCCUGUAGGUUUCGGCACAAGUCUCAGCGAGAGAAGGAGAAAACUGCCUUGGUUGGAACCUUGCAGGCUCUAUCCUCUAUCACUGUGGAGGGACCACUGACAACAGAAGACAAGGGAAAACCAAGGAAUUUACCUGACUUUGGUAGAGAUUCAUCACAAGAGAGCUACAAGAGCCUAGAAGAAGCUAAAGACUGCUACCCUCCAUCCUUACUCACCCUGGACCUGAGAGACCUCUUCAAUCAGGAAGAGAUGACAGUGAGAAGCUGGAGGAGGAGGAGGAAGAGGAGUGGGACGAUGACCAGGAGCUGGAAGAGGAGGAGCCUGAUAUUUGGUUUGAUUUUGAAACUAUGGCUCGGCCCUGGAGUGAGGAUGGGGAUUGGACUGAACCUGGGGCCCCAGGUGGCACUGAGGACAGGCCCUCAGGGGGAGGCAAGGCCAACCGAGCACACCCAAUAAAACAGCGGCCAUUCCCCUAUGAACAUAAAAUACUUGGAG
RNAcentral lists this long non-coding RNA (1110 nucleotides) under Rhinopithecus bieti (black snub-nosed monkey). RNAcentral's name for it is "lncRNA (ENSRBIG00000045274.1)". The record is from RNAcentral. Lineage: Eukaryota; Metazoa; Chordata; Mammalia; Primates; Cercopithecidae.